GACGAACGCUGGCGGCGUGCCUAAUACAUGCAAGUUGAGCGCUGAAGGUUGGUACUUGUACCGACUGGAUGAGCAGCGAACGGGUGAGUAACGCGUGGGGAAUCUGCCUUUGAGCGGGGGACAACAUUUGGAAACGAAUGCUAAUACCGCAUAAAAACUUUAAACACAAGUUUUAAGUUUGAAAGAUGCAAUUGCAUCACUCAAAGAUGAUCCCGCGUUGUAUUAGCUAGUUGGUGAGGUAAAGGCUCACCAAGGCGAUGAUACAUAGCCGACCUGAGAGGGUGAUCGGCCACCUUGGGACUGAGACACGGCCCAAACGCCUACGGGAGGCAGCAGUAGGGAAUCUUCGGCAAUGGACGGAAGUCUGACCGAGCAACGCCGCGUGAGUGAAGAAGGUUGUCGGAUCGUAAAACUCUGUUGGUAGAGAAGAACGUUGGUGAGAGUGGAAAGCUCAUCAAGUGACGGUAACUACACAGAAAGGGACGGCUAACUACGUG
Molecule: ribosomal RNA, 497 nt
Filed under: uncultured bacterium
Lineage: Bacteria
Description: partial 16S ribosomal RNA
Rfam family: Bacterial small subunit ribosomal RNA
Source: RNAcentral